RNAcentral lists this long non-coding RNA (787 nucleotides) under Cyanistes caeruleus (blue tit). RNAcentral describes it as "lncRNA (ENSCCEG00000008455.1)". The record is from RNAcentral. Lineage: Eukaryota; Metazoa; Chordata; Aves; Passeriformes; Paridae.
CAGCACCCAAAUUUUUAACAGGAGCGACAGCACAUCGCAGCUCUCGGAAGGCAAAUCCCCUUUCAAAACGGCAGCUUCAGUAGACUCUUUUUUUUUUUUUUUUUCCUCCUUUUUUUUUUUUUUUUUUUUUUUUCAGGGGAAAAAAAAAAAAGUCCGCAGCACUUUGAAAAUGUCAAAUUCCUGCGGCAGCCCAGAAGAGCCGGGGAAGCAGCGAGGCAGAGAUGGCAAGAUAAGGAGGGAGGAUGUGGAUGAUUCCCAGCCUGAGGGAAAGAGGUUGAAGCUGGGGAAUGAAGGAGGAACCGGUGGAAAGGACAGAGAAGCAGCAGCAGAAGAUGCAAUAAUGCCUUGCUCAGGCAGAGAAGAGCCCGUGCCCGGAGGAGGUGGUGAAGGCAAAAGUGACUAUAAAUCUGAUGUUAUGACUCUGGUUUCCAGUGCCAAGAACAGUCCUCAAGGUCCAAGGUGAGUCCUGCUGCAGAACCUUCUCUGGGUUAUCAAAGACUCUGCUUGGUCUGGCUCCUGCAGCUUCCAAAGUCUCACCAGCAACCCAACAGAACCAAGCAAAGGCAUUUCAGUGUUUGACUGUGUUUGCAAAGGCCUGGAUUUCAUGUGCUCUGUCUCUAUUUGGCCUUCCUCCCAUUGUCAAUGAUAUAACUGCAAGUGAGGAGGAGAAAUUAAGUGGCUUUGCAGAGGUCCUGUUCUCACAUCUGGAUGUGCUUUCAUCUGGUUUUAUCUCCCUGUGUUUUUCUGGUUUAAUAAAUUCCUGAGUUAUCUGAAGAAUGGUGCUAUA